Molecule: ribosomal RNA, 476 nt
Filed under: bacterium BSD2-10L
Lineage: Bacteria
Description: bacterial SSU rRNA
Rfam family: Bacterial small subunit ribosomal RNA
Source: RNAcentral
CAAGUCGAGCGGAAACGAGUUAUCUGAACCUUCGGGGAACGAUAACGGCGUCGAGCGGCGGACGGGUGAGUAAUGCCUAGGAAAUUGCCCUGAUGUGGGGGAUAACCAUUGGAAACGAUGGCUAAUACCGCAUAAUGCCUACGGGCCAAAGAGGGGGACCUUCGGGCCUCUCGCGUCAGGAUAUGCCUAGGUGGGAUUAGCUAGUUGGUGAGGUAAGGGCUCACCAAGGCGACGAUCCCUAGCUGGUCUGAGAGGAUGAUCAGCCACACUGGAACUGAGACACGGUCCAGACUCCUACGGGAGGCAGCAGUGGGGAAUAUUGCACAAUGGGCGCAAGCCUGAUGCAGCCAUGCCGCGUGUGUGAAGAAGGCCUUCGGGUUGUAAAGCACUUUCAGUCGUGAGGAAGGUAGUGUAGUUAAUAGCUGCAUUAUUUGACGUUAGCGACAGAAGAAGCACCGGCUAACUCCGUGCCAGCA